UGACGUGGACGCUAGCCUCAAAGAUUAAGCCAUGCAAGCCAGCGAAGGUAACGGAGCGGCAUACGGCUCGGUAGGACAGGGAAAUCUGGCCACUAUGGAGGAUAACCACGGUAACCUGUGGCUAAGACGAGAGUGGGUGAGUCCCUGGCCUAUCAGCUUGACGGUACGGUAAGGGCGUACCGAGGCGACGACGGGUAACGGAGAAUCGGGGUUUGAUUCCGGAGAGGAAGCCUGAGAAAUGGCUACCACGUCCAAGGACGGCAGCAGGCGCGGAAAUUACCCACUUGGAGGACCAGAGGUAGUUAUGAGGCGUGUAAAUGAGGUUAGAGCAAAAGCCUAACCGAAAGCUACUGGAGGGCAAGUCUGGUGCCAGCAGCCGCGGUAAUUCCAGCUCCAGAAGCGUCUGUGUGUGUUGCUGCGGUUAAAACGUGCGUAGUCGGGUUGUUCGCCAGCAGAAAAAGCAUGGACUCAAGCUGUGCAUUGUGCAGGGACGUAGACCUAGGGACCGGAGCGGGGCAACGUUAUUCGACAGCGAGGGGUGAAAACCGAUGACCUGACGAGGAGCAACAGAAGCGUAGGCGGUUGUCCGAGACGGGUCCGACGAUCAAGCGCGUAGGCAGGAGGAUCAAAGACGAUUAGAGACCGUUGUAGUUCCG
RNAcentral lists this ribosomal RNA (656 nucleotides) under uncultured Microsporidium. RNAcentral describes it as "bacterial SSU rRNA". It matches the Rfam family "Microsporidia small subunit ribosomal RNA", at positions 19 to 681 of the family's 1311-position model. Lineage: Eukaryota; Fungi; Microsporidia. The record is from RNAcentral.